This 205-nucleotide ribosomal RNA is filed under the name Steinernema kraussei. RNAcentral describes it as "partial 18S ribosomal RNA". It matches the Rfam family "Eukaryotic small subunit ribosomal RNA", at positions 1630 to 1831 of the family's 1831-position model. The record is from RNAcentral. Lineage: Eukaryota; Metazoa; Nematoda; Chromadorea; Rhabditida; Steinernematidae.
AAUUCGCCCUUUUGAUUACGUCCCUGCCCUUUGUACACACCGCCCGUCGCUGCCCGGGACUGAGUUGUUUCGAGAAAAGCGGAGACUGCUGCUCUGAGCGUUUUCGGACGAUCGUUGCGGCGAGAACCGCGUUAAUCGAAACGGCUUGAACCGGGCAAAAGUCAUAACAAGGUUUCCGUAGGUGAACCUGCGGAAGGAUCAUUAU